Molecule: ribosomal RNA, 497 nt
Filed under: uncultured bacterium
Lineage: Bacteria
Description: partial 16S ribosomal RNA
Rfam family: Bacterial small subunit ribosomal RNA
Source: RNAcentral
GAUGAACGCUGGCGGCGUGCCUAAUACAUGCAAGUCGAGCGAACAGACUAGGAGCUUGCUCCUCUGACGUUAGCGGCGGACGGGUGAGUAACACGUGGAAAACCUACCUAUAAGACUGGGAUAACUUCGGGAAACCGGAGCUAAUACCGGAUAACAUGUUGAACCGCAUGGUUCAACAGUGAAAGACGGUCUUGCUGUCACUCAUAGAUGGAUCCGCGCCGCAUUAGCUAGUUGGUAAGGUAACGGCUUACCAAGGCAACGAUGCGUAGCCGACCUGAGAGGGUGAUCGGCCACACUGGAACUGAGACACGGUCCAGACUCCUACGGGAGGCAGCAGUAGGGAAUCUUCCGCAAUGGGCGAAAGCCUGACGGAGCAACGCCGCGUGAGUGAAGAAGGUCUUCGGAUCGUAAAACUCUGUUAUUAGGGAAGAACAAAUGUGUAAGUAACUAUGCACGUCUUGACGGUACCUAAUCAGAAAGCCACGGCUAACUACGUG